AAGUCGUAACAAGGUUUCCGUAGGUGAACCUGCGGAAGGAUCAUUAUCGUAUAAUAGAGGCGCUGGGGUUGUCGCUGACCCUUGAAACGGUCGUGCACGCCUUGGUGCUCUCACACACAAUCCAUCUCACCCCCUUUGUGCAUCACCGCGUGAAGGCCCCUUUUGGCUACUUCCAUGGGGGGUUUUCAUGUUUUUACACAGACACACCUUUUUAAUGUAAUGUAUAUGAAUGUCUUUACUUUUUGCGAUCACACGCAAUCAAUAUAACUUUCAACAACGGAUCUCUUGGCUCUCGCAUCGAUGAAGAACGCAGCGAAAUGCGAUACGUAAUGUGAAUUGCAGAAUUCAGUGAAUCAUCGAAUCUUUGAACGCAUCUUGCGCCCUUUGGUAUUCCGAGGGGCACACCCGUUUGAGUGUCGUGAUAUUCUCAAAACGUUCUUGGUUUAUUGACCAAGAAGGUUUUUGGACUUUGGAGGUUUUUGCUGGCUUCUUCCCUUGUUGAAGCCAGCUCCUCUGAAAUGAAUUAGUGGGGUCUGCUUUGCUGAUCCUUGACGUGAUAAGAUAUUUCUACGUCUUGGGUUUCGC
RNAcentral lists this ribosomal RNA (585 nucleotides) under Russula siamensis. RNAcentral's name for it is "eukaryotic LSU rRNA". The stretch from base 266 to 419 matches the Rfam family "5.8S ribosomal RNA". Lineage: Eukaryota; Fungi; Basidiomycota; Agaricomycetes; Russulales; Russulaceae. The record is from RNAcentral.